Molecule: ribosomal RNA, 467 nt
Filed under: uncultured bacterium
Lineage: Bacteria
Description: partial 16S ribosomal RNA
Rfam family: Bacterial small subunit ribosomal RNA
Source: RNAcentral
ACGCACGCUGGCGGCGUGCUUAACACCUGCAAGUCGAACGGAAAGGCCCUGCUUUUGUGGGGUGCUCGAGUGGCGAACGGGUGAGUAACACGUGAGUAGCCUGCCCUUGACUUUGGGAUAACUUCAGGAAACUGGGGCUAAUACCGGAUAGGAGCUCCUGCUGCAUGGUGGGGGUUGGAAAGUUUCGGCGGUUGGGGAUGGACUCGCGGCUUAUCAGCUUGUUGGUGGGGUAGUGGCUUACCAAGGCUUUGACGGGUAGCCGGCCUGAGAGGGUGACCGGCCACAUUGGGACUGAGAUACGGCCCAGACUCCUACGGGAGGCAGCAGUGGGGAAUAUUGCACAAUGGGCGGAAGCCUGAUGCAGCAACGCCGCGUGCGGGAUGACGGCCUUCGGGUUGUAAACCGCUUUCGCCUGUGACGAAGCGUGAGUGACGGUAAUGGGUAAAGAAGCACCGGCUAACUACGUG